CGUGUAGGCGGGCUUUUAAGUCAGGGGUGAAAUGCCAAGGCUCAACCUUGGAACUGCCUUUGAUACUGGAAGUCUUGAGUCCGGGAGAGGUGAGUGGAACUGCGAGUGUAGAGGUGAAAUUCGUAGAUAUUCGCAAGAACACCAGUGGCGAAGGCGGCUCACUGGCCCGGAACUGACGCUGAGACGCGAAAGCGUGGGGAGCAAACAGGAUUAGAUACCCUGGUAGUCCACGCUGUAAACGAUGGAUGCUAGCCGUUGGGGAGCUUGCUCUUCAGUGGCGCAGCUAACGCUUUAAGCAUCCCGCCUGGGGAGUACGGUCGCAAGAUUAAAA
Molecule: ribosomal RNA, 331 nt
Filed under: uncultured bacterium
Lineage: Bacteria
Description: bacterial SSU rRNA
Rfam family: Bacterial small subunit ribosomal RNA
Source: RNAcentral